This 464-nucleotide ribosomal RNA is filed under the name uncultured bacterium. RNAcentral describes it as "partial 16S ribosomal RNA". It matches the Rfam family "Bacterial small subunit ribosomal RNA", at positions 28 to 507 of the family's 1533-position model. The record is from RNAcentral.
GACGAACGCUGGCGGCGUGCUUAACACAUGCAAGUCGAACGGAAAGGCCCCCUUGUGGGGUACUCGAGUGGCGAACGGGUGAGUAACACGUGAGUAACCUACCCUUGACUUUGGGAUAACUUCAGGAAACUGGGGCUAAUACCGGAUAGGAGCUCCUGCUGCAUGGUGGGGGUUGGAAAGUUUCGGCGGUUGGGGAUGGACUCGCGGCUUAUCAGCUUGUUGGUGGGGUAGUGGCUCACCAAGGCUUUGACGGGUAGCCGGCCUGGGAGGGUGACCGGCCCCAUGGGGCCGGGGGAAGGGCCCGGACUCCUACGGGGGGAAGGGGUGGAGAAUAUUCCAAAAUGGGCGGAGGCGUGGUGCAGCACCGCCGGGUGGGGGAUGACGGCCUUCGGGUUGUAAACCGUUUUCGCCUGUGACGAAGCGUGGGUAAGGUAAAUGGGUAAAAAACCACCGGUAAACUCGUG